UUCACGGAGAGUUUGAUCCUGGCUCAGGACGAACGCUGGCGGCGUGCUUAACACAUGCAAGUCGAACGAUGAACCGCUUUCGGGCGGGGAUUAGUGGCGAACGGGUGAGUAACACGUGGGCAAUCUGCCCUGCACUCUGGGACAAGCCCUGGAAACGGGGUCUAAUACCGGAUAUGACCGUCUGCCGCAUGGUGGAUGGUGUAAAGCUCCGGCGGUGCAGGAUGAGCCCGCGGCCUAUCAGCUUGUUGGUGAGGUAGUGGCUCACCAAGGCGACGACGGGUAGCCGGCCUGAGAGGGCGACCGGCCACACUGGGACUGAGACACGGCCCAGACU
Molecule: ribosomal RNA, 334 nt
Filed under: Streptomyces albidoflavus
Lineage: Bacteria; Bacillati; Actinomycetota; Actinomycetes; Kitasatosporales; Streptomycetaceae
Description: bacterial SSU rRNA
Rfam family: Bacterial small subunit ribosomal RNA
Source: RNAcentral